CGUGGGGAGCAAACAGGAUUAGAUACCCUGGUAGUCCACGCUGUAAACGAUGUCGAUUUGGAGUUUGGGGGCAUGACCCUUGGGCUCCGGAGCUAACGCGUUAAAUCGACCGCCUGGGGAGUACGGCCGCAAGGUUAAAACUCAAAUGAAUUGACGGGGGCCCGCACAAGCGGUGGAGCAUGUGGUUUAAUUCGAUGCAACGCGAAGAACCUUACCUGGUCUUGACAUCCAUAGAAUCUUGUAGAGAUACGAGAGUGCCUUCGGGAGCUAUGAGACAGGUGCUGCAUGGCUGUCGUCAGCUCGUGUUGUGAAAUGUUGGGUUAAGUCCCGCAACGAGCGCAACCCUUAUCCUUUGUUGCCAGCGGGUAAUGCCGGGAACUCAAAGGAGACUGCCGUUGAUAAAGCGGAGGAAGGUGGGGACGACGUCAAGUCAUCAUGGCCCUUACGACCAGGGCUACACACGUGCUACAAUGGCGUAUACAAAGGGAGGCGAAGGUGCGAACUGGAGCGGACCUCACAAAGUACGUCUAAGUCCGGAUUGGAGUCUGCAACUCGACUCCAUGAAGUCGGAAUCGCUAGUAAUCGUGAAUCAGAAUGCCACGGUGAAUACGUUCCCGGGCCUUGUACACACCGCCCGUCACACCAUGGGAGUGGGUUGCACCAGAAGUAGAUAGCUUAACCGAAAGGAGGGCGUUUACCACGGUGUGAUUCAUGACUGGGGUGAAGUCGUAACAAGGUAACCA
RNAcentral lists this ribosomal RNA (743 nucleotides) under uncultured Enterobacteriaceae bacterium. Its description in RNAcentral is "bacterial SSU rRNA". It matches the Rfam family "Bacterial small subunit ribosomal RNA", at positions 760 to 1502 of the family's 1533-position model. Lineage: Bacteria; Pseudomonadati; Pseudomonadota; Gammaproteobacteria; Enterobacterales; Enterobacteriaceae. The record is from RNAcentral.